Molecule: transfer RNA, 70 nt
Filed under: Prodotiscus insignis
Lineage: Eukaryota; Metazoa; Chordata; Aves; Piciformes; Indicatoridae
Description: tRNA-Pro
Rfam family: tRNA
About the family: Transfer RNA (tRNA) molecules are approximately 80 nucleotides in length. Their secondary structure includes four short double-helical elements and three loops (D, anti-codon, and T loops).
Source: RNAcentral
CAGAGAAUAGUUUAGUUUAGAAUACCAGCUUUGGGAGUUGGAGGUAUAGGUUCGAGUCCUUUUUCUCUGA